This 1335-nucleotide ribosomal RNA is filed under the name Mycobacterium sp. DWMJ-1502A3. RNAcentral describes it as "bacterial SSU rRNA". It matches the Rfam family "Bacterial small subunit ribosomal RNA", at positions 84 to 1422 of the family's 1533-position model. Lineage: Bacteria; Bacillati; Actinomycetota; Actinomycetes; Mycobacteriales; Mycobacteriaceae. The record is from RNAcentral.
GGGGUACUCGAGUGGCGAACGGGUGAGUAACACGUGGGUGAUCUGCCCUGCACUUUGGGAUAAGCCUGGGAAACUGGGUCUAAUACCUGAAUAGGACCACGCGCUUCAUGGUGUGUGGUGGAAAGCUUUUGAAGNUUCGGUGUGGGAUGGGCCCGCGGCCUAUCAGCUUGUUGGUGGGGUAAUGGCCUACCAAGGCGACGACGGGUAGCCGGCCUGAGAGGGUGACCGGCCACACUGGGACUGAGAUACGGCCCAGACUCCUACGGGAGGCAGCAGUGGGGAAUAUUGCACAAUGGGCGCAAGCCUGAUGCAGCGACGCCGCGUGAGGGAUGACGGCCUUCGGGUUGUAAACCUCUUUCAAUAGGGACGAAGCGCAAGUGACGGUACCUAUAGAAGAAGCACCGGCCAACUACGUGCCAGCAGCCGCGGUAAUACGUAGGGUGCGAGCGUUGUCCGGAAUUACUGGGCGUAAAGAGCUCGUAGGUGGUUUGUCGCGUUGUUCGUGAAAACUCACAGCUUAACUGUGGGCGUGCGGGCGAUACGGGCAGACUAGAGUACUGCAGGGGAGACUGGAAUUCCUGGUGUAGCGGUGGAAUGCGCAGAUAUCAGGAGGAACACCGGUGGCGAAGGCGGGUCUCUGGGCAGUAACUGACGCUGAGGAGCGAAAGCGUGGGGAGCGAACAGGAUUAGAUACCCUGGUAGUCCACGCCGUAAACGGUGGGUACUAGGUGUGGGUUCCUUCCUUGGGAUCCGUGCCGUAGCUAACGCAUUAAGUACCCCGCCUGGGGAGUACGGCCGCAAGGCUAAAACUCAAAGGAAUUGACGGGGGCCCGCACAAGCGGCGGAGCAUGUGGAUUAAUUCGAUGCAACGCGAAGAACCUUACCUGGGUUUGACAUGCACAGGACGCCGGCAGAGAUGUCGGUUCCCUUGUGGCCUGUGUGCAGGUGGUGCAUGGCUGUCGUCAGCUCGUGGUCGUGAGAUGUUGGGUUAAGUCCCGCAACGAGCGCAACCCUUGUCCUAUGUUGCCAGCGGGUUAUGCCGGGGACUCGUAGGAGACUGCCGGGGUCAACUCGGAGGAAGGUGGGGAUGACGUCAAGUCAUCAUGCCCCUUAUGUCCAGGGCUUCACACAUGCUACAAUGGCCGGUACAAAGGGCUGCGAUGCCGUGAGGUGGAGCGAAUCCUUUCAAAGCCGGUCUCAGUUUNCGGAUCGGGGUCUGCAACUCGACCCCGUGAAGUCGGAGUCGCUAGUAAUCGCAGAUCAGCAACGCUGCGGUGAAUACGUUCCCGGGCCUUGUACACACCGCCCGUCACGUCAUGAAAGUCGGUAACACCC